AGAGUUUGAUCAUGGCUCAGGAUGAACGCUAGCGGCAGGCCUAACACAUGCAAGUCGAACGGUCCUUCCCGCAAGGGAAGGAUAGUGGCGAACGGGUGAGUAACGCGUAAGUAACCUGCCCCUAAGUAAGGAAUAACUCCGAGAAAUUGGAGCUAAUACCGUAUGUGAUGGUGGAGGUAGUGCUCCAUCAUUAAAGCCUUCGGGCGCUUGGGGAGGGGCUUGCGUCCGAUUAGCUAGUUGGUAGAGUAAGGGUCUACCAAGGCGACGAUCGGUAGCUGGUUUGAGAGGACGGCCAGCCACACUGGGACUGAGACUCGGCCCAGACUCCUACGGGAGGCAGC
This 341-nucleotide ribosomal RNA is filed under the name uncultured bacterium. Its description in RNAcentral is "bacterial SSU rRNA". It matches the Rfam family "Bacterial small subunit ribosomal RNA", at positions 8 to 352 of the family's 1533-position model. The record is from RNAcentral.